UACGUAGGGUGCAAGCGUUGUCCGGAAUUAUUGGGCGUAAAGAGCUCGUAGGUGGUUUGUCGCGUUGUUCGUGAAAACUCACAGCUCAACUGUGGGCGUGCGGGCGAUACGGGCAGACUUGAGUACUGCAGGGGAGACUGGAAUUCCUGGUGUAGCGGUGGAAUGCGCAGAUAUCAGGAGGAACACCGGUGGCGAAGGCGGGUCUCUGGGCAACAACUGACGCUGAGGAGCGAAAGCGUGGGGAGCGAACAGG
This 253-nucleotide ribosomal RNA is filed under the name uncultured bacterium. Its description in RNAcentral is "partial 16S ribosomal RNA". It matches the Rfam family "Bacterial small subunit ribosomal RNA", at positions 524 to 776 of the family's 1533-position model. The record is from RNAcentral.